RNAcentral lists this ribosomal RNA (450 nucleotides) under uncultured bacterium. RNAcentral describes it as "bacterial SSU rRNA". It matches the Rfam family "Bacterial small subunit ribosomal RNA", at positions 354 to 796 of the family's 1533-position model. The record is from RNAcentral.
GUGGGGAAUUUUGGACAAUGGGGGCAACCCUGAUCCAGCCAUGCCGCGUGCGGGAAGAAGGCCUUCGGGUUGUAAACCGCUUUUGUCAGGGAAGAAAUCCUUUGGGUUAAUACCUCGGAGGGAUGACGGUACCUGAAGAAUAAGCACCGGCUAACUACGUGCCAGCAGCCGCGGUAAUACGUAGGGUGCGAGCGUUAAUCGGAAUUACUGGGCGUAAAGCGUGCGCAGGCGGUUUUGUAAGAUCGAUGUGAAAUCCCCGGGCUCAACCUGGGAACUGCAUUGGUGACUGCAAGGCUGGAGUGCGGCAGAGGGGGAUGGAAUUCCGCGUGUAGCAGUGAAAUGCGUAGAUAUGCGGAGGAACACCGAUGGCGAAGGCAAUCCCCUGGGCCUGCACUGACGCUCAUGCACGAAAGCGUGGGGAGCAAACAGGAUUAGAAACCCUAGUAGUCC